Molecule: ribosomal RNA, 921 nt
Filed under: Clostridioides difficile
Lineage: Bacteria; Bacillati; Bacillota; Clostridia; Peptostreptococcales; Peptostreptococcaceae
Description: partial 23S ribosomal RNA
Rfam family: Bacterial large subunit ribosomal RNA
Source: RNAcentral
UGGUCAAGUUAUUAAGGGUGCAGGGCGGAUGCCUUGGCACUAGGAGCCGAUGAAGGACGUGAUAAGCUGCGAUAAGCUUCGGGGAGUUGCACGUAAACUUUGAUCCGAAGAUUUCCGAAUGAGGAAACUCACUUAGAGUAAUGUCUAAGUAUCAUUAAGUAAAUACAUAGCUUAAUGAGGGGAACUCAGGGAACUGAAACAUCUAAGUACCUGAAGGAAGAGAAAGAAAUUCGAUUCCGUAAGUAGCGGCGAGCGAACGCGGAUUAGCCCAAACCAAUAAAGUUUUCUUUAUCGGGGUUGCGGACAUAUCAUAACGAAGAGGUAUCGUAAUUGAAGAGGUUUGGAAAGACCCACCACAGAAGGUAAUAGUCCUGUAUGUUAAACGAGAAGACUUCAGAUAUGAUCCAGAGUACCACGGGACACGUGAAACCCUGUGGGAAGCAGGAGGGACCACCCUCCAAGGCUAAAUACUACCUAGUGACCGAUAGCGUAUAGUACCGUGAGGGAAAGGUGAAAAGAACCCCGGGAGGGGAGUGAAAUAGAACCUGAAACCCUGCACUUACAAGCUGUGGAAGCACAUUUCUUGUGUGACCGCGUACUUUUUGUAGAACGGGCCAACGAGUUACGUUAAGUAGCAAGGUUAAGCACUUAAGGUGUGGAGCCGUAGCGAAAGCGAGUUUUAACUGAGCGUUUAGUUACUUGACGUAGACCCGAAACCGGGCGACCUACCCAUGAGCAGGAUGAAGCGAAAGUAAAAUUUCGUGGAGGUCCGAACCCACGAGCGUUGAAAAGCUCGGGGAUGACUUGUGGGUAGCGGUGAAAUUCCAAUCGAGCCCGGAGAUAGCUGGUUCUCCCCGAAAUAGCUUUAGGGCUAGCCUCAAGGUGAGAGAUACGGAGGUAGAGCACUGAAUGUCCUAGGGG